This 468-nucleotide ribosomal RNA is filed under the name uncultured bacterium. RNAcentral's name for it is "partial 16S ribosomal RNA". It matches the Rfam family "Bacterial small subunit ribosomal RNA", at positions 28 to 507 of the family's 1533-position model. The record is from RNAcentral.
GACGAACGCUGGCGGCGUGCUUAACACAUGCAAGUCGAACGGAAAGGCCCUGCUUUUGUGGGGUGCUCGAGUGGCGAACGGGUGAGUAACACGUGAGUAACCUGCCCCUGACUUUGGGAUAACUUCAGGAAACUGGGGCUAAUACCGGAUAGGAGCUCCUGCUGCAUGGUGGGGGUUGGAAAGUUUCGGCGGUUGGGGAUGGACUCGCGGCUUAUCAGCUUGUUGGUGGGGUAGUGGCUUACCAAGGCUUUGACGGGUAGCCGGCCUGAGAGGGUGACCGGCCACAUUGAGACUGAGAUACGGCCCAGACUCCUACGGGAGGCAGCAGUGGGGAAUAUUGCACAAUGGGCGGAAGCCUGAUGCAGCAACGCCGCGUGCGGGAUGACGGCCUUCGGGUUGUAAACCGCUUUCGCCUGUGACGAAGCGUGAGUGACGGUAAUGGGUAAAGAAGCACCGGCUAACUACGUG